UACGGAGGAUUCGAGCGUUAUCCGGAUUUAUUGGGUUUAAAGGGUCCGUAGGCGGGCGAUUAAGUCAGUGGUGAAAUCUCACAGCUCAACUGUGAAACUGCCAUUGAUACUGGUUGUCUUGAAUCGUUGUGAAGUGGCUAGAAUAUGUGGUGUAGCGGUGAAAUGCUUAGAUAUCACAUAGAAUACCAAUUGCGAAGGCAGAUCACUAACAAUAUAUUGACGCUGAGGGACGAAAGCGUGGGGAGCGAACAGG
RNAcentral lists this ribosomal RNA (253 nucleotides) under uncultured bacterium. RNAcentral describes it as "partial 16S ribosomal RNA". It matches the Rfam family "Bacterial small subunit ribosomal RNA", at positions 524 to 776 of the family's 1533-position model. The record is from RNAcentral.